Molecule: transfer RNA, 69 nt
Filed under: Batagur dhongoka (three-striped roofed turtle)
Lineage: Eukaryota; Metazoa; Chordata; Testudines; Geoemydidae
Description: tRNA-Met
Rfam family: tRNA
About the family: Transfer RNA (tRNA) molecules are approximately 80 nucleotides in length. Their secondary structure includes four short double-helical elements and three loops (D, anti-codon, and T loops). Further hydrogen bonds mediate the characteristic L-shaped molecular structure. tRNAs have two regions of fundamental functional importance: the anti-codon, which is responsible for specific mRNA codon recognition, and the 3' end, to which the tRNAs corresponding amino acid is attached (by aminoacyl-tRNA synthetases). tRNAs cope with the degeneracy of the genetic code in two manners: having more than one tRNA (with a specific anti-codon) for a particular amino acid; and 'wobble' base-pairing, i.e. permitting non-standard base-pairing at the 3rd anti-codon position.
Source: RNAcentral
AGUAUAGUCAGCUAAUUAAGCUCUUGGGCCCAUACCCCAAAAAUGUUGGUUUAAAUCCCUCCUGUACUA